GACGAACGCUGGCGGCGGGCUUAACACAUGCAAGUCGAACGAACGCCUUCGGGCGUUAGUGGGCGCACGGGUGAGUAACACGUAGGCAAUCUACCCUCGGCUGGGGAAUAACCAGGGGAAACCCUGGCUAAUACCGCAUAACAUCUGGACGUCGCCUGGCGACCAGAUCAAAAGCUUUAUGUGGCCGAGGAUGAGCCUGCGUCGGAUUAGCUAGUUGGNGGGGUAACGCCUACAAGGCGACGAUCCGUAGCGGGUCUGAGAGGAUGAUCCGCCACACUGGCACUGAGACACGGGCAGACUCCUACGGGAGGCAGGCAGUGAGGAAUAUUGCGCAAUGG
This 338-nucleotide ribosomal RNA is filed under the name uncultured bacterium. Its description in RNAcentral is "bacterial SSU rRNA". It matches the Rfam family "Bacterial small subunit ribosomal RNA", at positions 28 to 374 of the family's 1533-position model. The record is from RNAcentral.